RNAcentral lists this long non-coding RNA (1931 nucleotides) under Homo sapiens (human). RNAcentral's name for it is "HSALNT0083858". The record is from RNAcentral. Lineage: Eukaryota; Metazoa; Chordata; Mammalia; Primates; Hominidae.
GGAGUCUCACUCUGUCGCCAGGCUGGAGUGCAGUGGCGCAAUCUCGGCUCAUGGCAACCUCCACCUCCCAGGUUCAAGUGAUUCUCCUGCCUCAGCCUCCCGAGUAGCUGGAACUACUCAGGCACCCGCCACCAUGCCCGGCUAAUUGUUUGUAUUUUUAGUAGAGACAGGGUUUCACUGUGUUAUCCAGGAUGGUCUUGAUCUCUUGACCUCAUGAUCCACCCGCCUCGGCCUCCCAAAGUGCUGGGAUUACAGGCGUGAGCCACCGCACCCAGCCGGAAACUGAAUAGGUAUUACAAGGAAGGAACAGUCUCUGUUUUCCUGAACUUCCUCCCGUUCAAGUUAAACUGGAGAAGAUCAUGCCAGGAGAAAAAUAAGAAAAACAUGCUCUCUCUUCUCUAAUGAUUGGACAGACUCCUACUCCAAAACAGAAGAUCUCAACUCUGGAAGAGAACAGAUGCCUUCCACUGUGUGAGCGUAAAUUCAGAGCCUUCCAACUUGACAUUCUCAUCGACAAAUUAUUUAAACAUGACGGCUCUUUUAUAAAGAGUGUUAUCUUAAAAGGAAAGGAAUCAAAGGGCUGAACAUGUUGAAGGGAGGAGAAACAAGACCCCCAGGACUUGUCAAUGGCACACAUGAAAGACAGAAAACACCAGAAGCCAGUCUUCAGCCUGCUGGCCCAGCCAUGGCCACUGUAACGUACGGCUAAACCCCUGCCCCGAUCAGCUCUCAAGGCUCUGAGCCAACUGCCUAGACCGUCUAUUUGAGAUCCCUGAGAGUUUCAACACAGGGCAUGGCUGACCUCUCCACCGUGUCAUUUCCAGUAAUGCGGCCUCACUGAUAGCAGAAGUUCGGAGAGCUCUUGUCAGAGAGGCCAGCUGGCACCAUGUGAGUCUUACCCAGAGGGAAACCUGACAAUCUUCCAGCAUGCUCACCAGACUGGGGCACUGACUUUUGUCACUUGAUUCUCAACUCACAGUCUCAAGAUGCUGGUGCUAAUGUACAUUGCAGCUGACACUGGAGUUUAUUUUUAUAACUGCUCUUGCCUCAGAAAAAGCUCCAUCCCAGUACGACUUCCAGGACAGGGAUGGUCUGGAUGCUGCAGUUAGGACAAUGAUCAUCUCGUUCUCUUAGUGGUUAGGAAUCCUGUGGGCUUAUGGAAUAAGCUCGCUGAAACAGACAGUGACAUCCACGGUGACACUGACCGAAUUGUGCUCCAGUGGCCUAGAGAGUGCCUAUUAUUUAUCUCAUUUCUGUUCUGCAUAAUAACACCAACCAAACCGCUAAUGAAUGAAUAUUAUUACAUGCUUUGGUAGGAACGCAAAGGCAAAUUGGGCUCACUGUAGAGAAUAUCUUGCUCCUCAUUUUGUAUUAAAAUGCCUAGACGCCCCUCAAGAGACCAUGUCAAGGAUGAAAUUUAUCCACUGCCUGCAUUUGCUAAUUUGAAAGAGUUCUGAUUUCAUCUGCCGGGCUUAAUAUAGAAAUUCUUUUAACCUGAACAGAUACACAGAAAUGUGGAAUUUAUUCAAUGCCAUUUUCUUGAUUUAUGUCAGGAAAUAUAUAUGGCUAUGCUGUCAUCUUUUUAUAUAUAGACAUCAAUAUAUAUAAAUAUAUAGAGUCAAGUCAGAAAUUCUGAAACCACAUUGCACUUAGCCCUUACAGCAUAAUGCUUUCCAUAUUCUUCACAGUUUGUUUCCCUGAUCCUUUAGAGAGAGCUACUGUGUUUAAAGUGUAAACCAUUUUUACAGAAAAAAUGUAUUACAAUUCUAUAUGAUAAUUCUCAAAGUUCAGGAAAAUAAUCUGAAAUAAACAUUCUAAAUUGAGGAAUGAAUAAUAAAGACUCAUCAAUUGGGCUGGGAGCAGUGGCUCACGCCUGUAAUCUCAGUACUUUGGGAGACCGAGGCAGGCGGAUCACCUGAGGUCAGCCUGGC